AACGAACGCUGGCGGCAUGCCUAACACAUGCAAGUCGAACGAGACCUUCGGGUCUAGUGGCGCACGGGUGCGUAACGCGUGGGAACCUGCCCUUAGGUUCGGAAUAACUCCCCGACAGGGGUGCUAAUACCGGAUAAUGUCUUCGGACCAAAGAUUUAUCGCCUUUGGAUGGGCCCGCGUUGGAUUAGCUAGUUGGUAGGGUAAAAGCCUACCAAGGCGACGAUCCAUAGCUGGUCUGAGAGGAUGAUCAGCCACACUGGGACUGAGACACGGCCCAGACUCCUACGGGAGGCAGCAGUGGGGAAUAUUGGACAAUGGGCGAAAGCCUGAUCCAGCAAUGCCGCGUGAGUGAUGAAGGCCUUAGGGUUGUAAAGCUCUUUUAUCCGGGAUGAUAAUGACAGUACCGGGAGAAUAAGCUCCGGCUAACUCCGUG
This 433-nucleotide ribosomal RNA is filed under the name uncultured bacterium. RNAcentral describes it as "partial 16S ribosomal RNA". It matches the Rfam family "Bacterial small subunit ribosomal RNA", at positions 29 to 507 of the family's 1533-position model. The record is from RNAcentral.